GUGCCAGCCGCCGCGGUAAUACGGAAGGGGCGAGCGUUGUUCGGAAUCAUUGGGCGUAAAGGGCGCGUAGGCGGUUGUGUUUGUCUACUGUGAAAGGCCACGGCUUACCUGUGGAGGUGCGGUAGAAACGGCACAACUUGAGGCUGGGAGGGGUUGGUGGAAUUCCCUGUGUAGCGGUGAAAUGCGUAGAUACGGGGGAGAACACUCGUGGCGAAGGCGGCCAACUGGCCCAGUCCUGACGCUGAGGCGCGACAGCGUGGGGAGCAAACAGGAUUAGAUACCCUUGUAGUCC
RNAcentral lists this ribosomal RNA (292 nucleotides) under uncultured bacterium. Its description in RNAcentral is "partial 16S ribosomal RNA". It matches the Rfam family "Bacterial small subunit ribosomal RNA", at positions 505 to 796 of the family's 1533-position model. The record is from RNAcentral.